AGGGCGCGAGUGAAAUGGGGGUUUCCGUAUCCGGCGAUCGCUUGAGAGCUGCGAUAAGGAGAGCAAUGGAGUUGAUGAAAGAGGCAACUGCUUCCUCUUCCACUCACCGCUGCUUCUACGCGCCUAGGUCGUGCAGAUCGUCACGGGAGCUAAUCAGAAUUUAUUGGACUAUUCUAGUUUCUAUUUGCUGGGGGAUUGGACUUGACGUAUUGAAUAUUGUGGAGAACUCGAUUUA
This is a long non-coding RNA of Zingiber officinale, 235 nucleotides long. RefSeq lists it as uncharacterized. Lineage: Eukaryota; Viridiplantae; Streptophyta; Magnoliopsida; Zingiberales; Zingiberaceae. The record is from RefSeq and is a predicted model, not a curated record. The transcript has 2 exons.